RNAcentral lists this long non-coding RNA (527 nucleotides) under Gossypium raimondii (Peruvian cotton). Its description in RNAcentral is "long non-coding RNA (GRAI_LNC007221)". Lineage: Eukaryota; Viridiplantae; Streptophyta; Magnoliopsida; Malvales; Malvaceae. The record is from RNAcentral.
ACAACAACUUUUACGCAGACUAUGCCAGCCAUCUAUCUGAACGGAGCUCUUGUGUAUAAAGUCGGUCGUUGCCUCAGGUGGAUAAUUUUUUGGACCUCUGAUAAUCAGGUAAAUAUUAAUCUCUCAGUUUCUAAUUAAUUCUUUCCCAUGGUAUAGCAUCAGACUGACUUCACUUUUUUCACAUGGUAAUUAUAUUAAAGCUUAACUAUUUCUUUUAAAAAAUAAAAUAUAUUACAGCAUAUAUGAUAAUCCAUUCAUUUAUCAAUUGUAGGUCUCUACUAAGAUGUUCCGAAUUAAUGACCCUAUUGAUUGGGGACAAGUUGCAAACAAUCUUACAUCCGGCCACGGCGGCAAGAGCGAAGAUCGGAUUACUGAUACAGCCGGUUUUGGAUACACCGCAUGGGCAAGUAUUGAAGGUCAAGUAUUAACCGCCAAUAUCCUCGCCAGUUCCGUGCCUAAUUAAUCUAGCUUUGCUUUGAUUAAUUGCUGUCUAUCGUAUCUAGGCAAUCUGUGUGUGGUGGUGAGGC